AGUUCUGAGGUGUUUUACAUGUUGGAUUGCAAAUCCAAAGUAGUAGAUUAGCGUCUACCGGGACUU
RNAcentral lists this transfer RNA (66 nucleotides) under Evynnis tumifrons (yellowback seabream). RNAcentral describes it as "Dentex tumifrons (yellowback seabream) tRNA-Cys". The record is from RNAcentral. Lineage: Eukaryota; Metazoa; Chordata; Actinopteri; Spariformes; Sparidae. RNAcentral also lists the same sequence under 1 other name.